RNAcentral lists this ribosomal RNA (250 nucleotides) under uncultured bacterium. Its description in RNAcentral is "partial 16S ribosomal RNA". It matches the Rfam family "Bacterial small subunit ribosomal RNA", at positions 524 to 773 of the family's 1533-position model. The record is from RNAcentral.
UACGUAGGGUGCAAGCGUUAAUCGGAAUAACUGGGCGUAAAGGGUGAGUAGGCUGAACUAAAAGUUAGAUGUGAAAUCCCCGGGCUUAACCUGGGAAGAGCAUAUAAUACUGUAGAUCUAGAGUUAGUGAGAGGGGUGUAGAAUUCCAAGUGUAGCAGUGAAAUGCGUAGAGAUUUGGAGGAAUACCGAUGGCGAAGGCAGCACCCUGGCAUGGAACUGACGCUGAGUCACGAAAGCGUGGGUAGCAAAC